This 497-nucleotide ribosomal RNA is filed under the name uncultured bacterium. RNAcentral's name for it is "partial 16S ribosomal RNA". It matches the Rfam family "Bacterial small subunit ribosomal RNA", at positions 28 to 507 of the family's 1533-position model. The record is from RNAcentral.
GAUGAACGCUGGCGGCGUGCCUAAUACAUGCAAGUCGAGCGAACAGACGAGGAGCUUGCUCCUCUGACGUUAGCGGCGGACGGGUGAGUAACACGUGGAUAACCUACCUAUAAGACUGGGAUAACUUCGGGAAACCGGAGCUAAUACCGGAUAACAUGUUGAACCGCAUGGUUUAACAGUGAAAGACGGUCUUGCUGUCACUUAUAGAUGGAUCCGCGCCGCAUUAGCUAGUUGAUAAGGUAACGGCUUACCAAGGCAACGAUGCGUAGCCGACCUGAGAGGGUGAUCGGCCACACUGGAACUGAGACACGGUCCAGACUCCUACGGGAGGCAGCAGUAGGGAAUCUUCCGCAAUGGGCGAAAGCCUGACGGAGCAACGCCGCGUGAGUGAAGAAGGUCUUCGGAUCGUAAAACUCUGUUAUUAGGGAAGAACAAAUGUGUAAGUAACUAUGCACGUCUUGACGGUACCUAAUCAGAAAGCCACGGCUAACUACGUG